UCGCUAGUAAUCGCAGAUCAGAAUGCUGCGGUGAAUACGUUCCCGGGUCUUGUACACACCGCCCGUCACACCAUGGGAGUCGGAUAUGCCCGAAGCCAGUGACCCCAACCGUAAGGAGGGAGCUGUCGAAGGUGGAGCCGAUAACUGGGGUGAAGUCGUAACAAGGUAAC
Molecule: ribosomal RNA, 170 nt
Filed under: uncultured bacterium
Lineage: Bacteria
Description: partial 16S ribosomal RNA
Rfam family: Bacterial small subunit ribosomal RNA
Source: RNAcentral